UUAAUUGAAACCAAAAAGAGGUAAAUCACUGUUAAUGAUUCAAAUGAAUAUUUAUUCCGAUUAAA
This 65-nucleotide transfer RNA is filed under the name Scaphisoma boleti. RNAcentral describes it as "tRNA-Asn". Lineage: Eukaryota; Metazoa; Arthropoda; Insecta; Coleoptera; Staphylinidae. The record is from RNAcentral.